CAGUCUAAUUGCAGAAUAUGUUAUAAACACAGUCUAGGUGCAGAAGAUGUUACAGUAUAAACACAGUCUAGGUGCAGAAGUUGUUAUAAACACAGUCUAAUUGCAGAAUAUGUUAUAAACACAGUCUAGGUGCAGAAGAUGUUACAGUAUAAACACAGUCUAGGUGCAGAAGAUGUUCAUUUAUUUAUAACUUUACCUUUGCCUGUAAAUAUUCCUCCAUUAUUUUUCAUAUUUAG
Molecule: long non-coding RNA, 236 nt
Organism: Tachysurus fulvidraco (yellow catfish)
Lineage: Eukaryota; Metazoa; Chordata; Actinopteri; Siluriformes; Bagridae
Exons: 3
Source: RefSeq, a predicted model, not a curated record